UACGAAGGGGGCUAGCGUUGUUCGGAAUUAGCUAGGGCGUGAAAGCGCGCGCAGGCGGCUAUCCAAGUCAGUGGUCGGAAAGCCCGGAGCUCAACUCCGGAACUGCCAUUGAAACUGUUUAGCUUGAGGACGAGAGAGGUGAGUGGAAUUCCCAGUGUAGAGGUAGAAAUUCGUAGAUAUUGGGAAGAACACCGGUGGCGAAGGCGGCUCACUGGCUCGUUUCUGACGCUCAGGCGCGACAGCGUGGGGAUCAAACAGG
RNAcentral lists this ribosomal RNA (259 nucleotides) under uncultured bacterium. RNAcentral describes it as "partial 16S ribosomal RNA". It matches the Rfam family "Bacterial small subunit ribosomal RNA", at positions 524 to 776 of the family's 1533-position model. The record is from RNAcentral.